AUUGAACGCUGGCGGCAGGCCUAACACAUGCAAGUCGAGCGGAUGAAGGGAGCUUGCUCCUGGAUUCAGCGGCGGACGGGUGAGUAAUGCCUAGGAAUCUGCCUGGUAGUGGGGGAUAACGCCCGGAAGCGGGCGCUAAUACCGCAUACGUCCUGAGGGAGAAAGUGGGGGAUCUUCGGACCUCACGCUAUCAGAUGAGCCUAGGUCGGAUUAGCUAGUUGGUGGGGUAAAGGCCUACCAAGGCGACGAUCCGUAACUGGUCUGAGAGGAUGAUCAGUCACACUGGAACUGAGACACGGUCCAGACUCCUACGGGAGGCAGCAGUGGGGAAUAUUGGACAAUGGGCGAAAGCCUGAUCCAGCCAUGCCGCGUGUGUGAAGAAGGUCUUCGGAUUGUAAAGCACUUUAAGUUGGGAGGAAGGGCAGUAAGUUAAUACCUUGCUGUUUUGACGUUACCAACAGAAUAAGCACCGGCUAACUUCGU
RNAcentral lists this ribosomal RNA (483 nucleotides) under uncultured bacterium. Its description in RNAcentral is "partial 16S ribosomal RNA". It matches the Rfam family "Bacterial small subunit ribosomal RNA", at positions 30 to 506 of the family's 1533-position model. The record is from RNAcentral.